AGGGGCAGCGGGGAGGUAGCAAUACCUUUGCCGGCGACCGGCGCACGGGUGAGUAACACGUAUGCAAUCCACCUGUAACAGGGGGAUAACCCGGAGAAAUCCGGACUAAUACCCCAUGAUAUGGGCUCUCCGCAUGGAGGGUCCAUUAAAGAGAGCAAUCUUGGUUACAGACGAGCAUGCGCUCCAUUAGCCAGUUGGCGGGGUAACGGCCCACCAAGACUACGAUGGAUAGGGGUUCUGAGAGGAAGGUCCCCACCAUUGGAACUGAGACACGGUCCAAACUCC
Molecule: ribosomal RNA, 285 nt
Filed under: uncultured Porphyromonadaceae bacterium
Lineage: Bacteria; Pseudomonadati; Bacteroidota; Bacteroidia; Bacteroidales; Porphyromonadaceae
Description: partial 16S ribosomal RNA
Rfam family: Bacterial small subunit ribosomal RNA
Source: RNAcentral